GACGAACCGCGCAAACGUUGUUCGGAAUCACUGGGCUUAAAGGGCGCGUAGGCGGGUCACCAAGUCCGGGGUGAAAUCUUUCGGCUCAACCGGAAAAGUGCCUUGGAUACUGGUGGUCUUGAGUGAGGUAGGGGCAUGUGGAACUUCCCGUGGAGCGGUGAAAUGCGUUGAUAUCGGAAGGAACUCCGGUGGCGAAAGCGACGUGCUGGCCCUCUUCUGACGCUGAGGCGCGAAAGCUAGGGGAGCAAACGGG
RNAcentral lists this ribosomal RNA (253 nucleotides) under uncultured bacterium. Its description in RNAcentral is "partial 16S ribosomal RNA". It matches the Rfam family "Bacterial small subunit ribosomal RNA", at positions 524 to 776 of the family's 1533-position model. The record is from RNAcentral.